RNAcentral lists this transfer RNA (63 nucleotides) under Corizus sp. 'albomarginatus'. RNAcentral describes it as "tRNA-Ala". The record is from RNAcentral. Lineage: Eukaryota; Metazoa; Arthropoda; Insecta; Hemiptera; Rhopalidae.
GGGGAUGUAGUUAAAAAUAACAUCUAAGUUGCAAUUAGAAAGAACUACUAUUAGUCUUCCUCA